This 252-nucleotide ribosomal RNA is filed under the name uncultured bacterium. Its description in RNAcentral is "partial 16S ribosomal RNA". It matches the Rfam family "Bacterial small subunit ribosomal RNA", at positions 524 to 776 of the family's 1533-position model. The record is from RNAcentral.
UACGUAGGGUGCAACGUUGUCCGGAAUUAUUGGGCGUAAAGAGCUCGUAGGCGGUUUGUCGCGUCUGCUGUGAAAUCCCGAGGCUCAACCUCGGGCCUGCAGUGGGUACGGGCAGACUAGAGUGCGGUAGGGGAGAUUGGAAUUCCUGGUGUAGCGGUGGAAUGCGCAGAUAUCAGGAGGAACACCGAUGGCGAAGGCAGAUCUCUGGGCCGUAACUGACGCUGAGGAGCGAAAGCAUGGGGAGCGAACAGG